Molecule: ribosomal RNA, 61 nt
Filed under: Methylobacterium sp. 13MFTsu3.1M2
Lineage: Bacteria; Pseudomonadati; Pseudomonadota; Alphaproteobacteria; Hyphomicrobiales; Methylobacteriaceae
Description: 16S rRNA. Bacterial SSU
Source: RNAcentral
CUGGCUCAGAGCGAACGCUGGCGGCAGGCUUAACACAUGCAAGUCGAGCGGGCCCUUCGGG